Molecule: ribosomal RNA, 530 nt
Filed under: Loxosceles mrazig
Lineage: Eukaryota; Metazoa; Arthropoda; Arachnida; Araneae; Sicariidae
Description: partial 16S ribosomal RNA
Rfam family: Bacterial large subunit ribosomal RNA
Source: RNAcentral
UUUCCGUCAUGACAGAAAGCAACUCCUGCUCCAUGUUCUUUAAAAAAAUAGCCGCAGAUUAUCUGUGCUAAGGUAGCACAAUCAUUUACCUUUCAAUUGAAGGAUYGUAUGAAAGUAUCAAUGACUUUUUCAAUCUCUCUCUAUCCUGUGCUUCUCAUAAAAUUCACUUAUAAGUAAAAAGGCUUAUGUAUCAGGGAAGGACGACAAGACCCUAUAGAACUUCACAAACUGUUAAACUGGGGCGGUUAACAACAAACUCUUAACUACUAACUUACUACCACCGACCUGAUAACAUCAAUUAUAGAAACAAGUUACCUUAGGGAUAACAGAGGAAUAUCCCUUUAGAUGACCUUCAAGAGAAAGAUUCCGACCUCGAUGUUGAAUUAAUAUAACUUCAUAACAAAAUGUUAUCUAAGUUGGUCUGUUCGACCACCAAAAUAUUACAUGAUUUGGGUUCAGACCUGCGUAAGCCAGGUCAGAUUCUAUCCUCCUCAACUUUAUUACAGUACGAAAGGACCUAAUAAAAGAUU